Molecule: ribosomal RNA, 45 nt
Filed under: Parasola plicatilis
Lineage: Eukaryota; Fungi; Basidiomycota; Agaricomycetes; Agaricales; Psathyrellaceae
Also listed under: 1 other name
Description: partial 28S ribosomal RNA
Source: RNAcentral
ACGCUGCUGGUUUGGAGCCCUUACGGACUAGCUUCUAACCGUCCG